This 400-nucleotide ribosomal RNA is filed under the name uncultured Prevotella sp. RNAcentral describes it as "bacterial SSU rRNA". It matches the Rfam family "Bacterial small subunit ribosomal RNA", at positions 354 to 749 of the family's 1533-position model. The record is from RNAcentral. Lineage: Bacteria; Pseudomonadati; Bacteroidota; Bacteroidia; Bacteroidales; Prevotellaceae.
UGAGGGAAUAUUUGGGGUCAAUGGGCGCAAGCCUGAACCAGCCAAGUAGCGUGAAGGAUGACUGCCCUAUGGGUUGUAAACUUCUUUUAUGCGGGAAUAACCUCGACCAUGUAUGGUCGUUUGCAUGUACCGCAAGAAAAGCAUCGGCUAAUUCCGUGCCAGCAGCCGCGGUAAUACGGAAGAUGCGAGCGUUAUCCGGAUUUAUUGGGUUUAAAGGGAGCGUAGGCCGUCUUAUAAGCGUGUUGUGAAAUGUCGGGGCUCAACCUGGGCAUUGCAGCGCGAACUGUGAGACUUGAGUGCGCAGGAAGUAGGCGGAAUUCGUCGUGUAGCGGUGAAAUGCUUAGAUAUGACGAAGAACUCCGAUCGCGAAGGCAAGUGCCUGGAGUGCUACUGACGCUGA